AACGGGUGAGUAACACGUGGGCAAUCUGCCCUGCACUCUGGGACAAGCCCUGGAAACGGGGUCUAAUACCGGAUGAUACCCCGGGGCGCAUGCCCUGGGGUUGAAAGCUCCGGCGGUGCAGGAUGAGCCCGCGGCCUAUCAGCUUGUUGGUGGGGUGAUGGCCUACCAAGGCGACGACGGGUAGCCGGCCUGAGAGGGCGACCGGCCACACUGGGACUGAGACACGGCCCAGACUCCUACGGGAGGCAGCAGUGGGGAAUAUUGCACAAUGGGCGAAAGCCUGAUGCAGCGACGCCGCGUGAGGGAUGACGGCCUUCGGGUUGUAAACCUCUUUCAGCAGGGAAGAAGCGUGAGUGACGGUACCUGCAGAAGAAGCGCCGGCUAACUACGUGCCAGCAGCCGCGGUAAUACGUAGGGCGCGAGCGUUGUCCGGAAUUAUUGGGCGUAAAGAGCUCGUAGGCGGCUUGUCGCGUCGGAUGUGAAAGCCCGGGGCUUAACCCCGGGUCUGCAUUCGAUACGGGCAGGCUAGAGUGUGGUAGGGGAGAUCGGAAUUCCUGGUGUAGCGGUGAAAUGCGCAGAUAUCAGGAGGAACACCGGUGGCGAAGGCGGAUCUCUGGGCCAUACUGACGC
RNAcentral lists this ribosomal RNA (630 nucleotides) under Streptomyces clavuligerus. RNAcentral describes it as "bacterial SSU rRNA". It matches the Rfam family "Bacterial small subunit ribosomal RNA", at positions 101 to 746 of the family's 1533-position model. Lineage: Bacteria; Bacillati; Actinomycetota; Actinomycetes; Kitasatosporales; Streptomycetaceae. The record is from RNAcentral.